RNAcentral lists this ribosomal RNA (465 nucleotides) under Vreelandella stevensii. Its description in RNAcentral is "partial 16S ribosomal RNA". It matches the Rfam family "Bacterial small subunit ribosomal RNA", at positions 338 to 795 of the family's 1533-position model. Lineage: Bacteria; Pseudomonadati; Pseudomonadota; Gammaproteobacteria; Oceanospirillales; Halomonadaceae. The record is from RNAcentral.
CCUACGGGUGGCAGCAGUGGGGAAUAUUGGACAAUGGGCGAAAGCCUGAUCCAGCCAUGCCGCGUGUGUGAAGAAGGCCUUCGGGUUGUAAAGCACUUUCAGUGGGGAAGAAAGCCUUGGGGCUAAUACCCUCGAGGAAGGACAUCACCCACAGAAGAAGCACCGGCUAACUCCGUGCCAGCAGCCGCGGUAAUACGGAGGGUGCGAGCGUUAAUCGGAAUUACUGGGCGUAAAGCGCGCGUAGGCGGUCUGAUAAGCCGGUUGUGAAAGCCCCGGGCUCAACCUUGGAACGGCAUCCGGAACUGUCAGGCUAGAGUGCAGGAGAGGAAGGUAGAAUUCCCGGUGUAGCGGUGAAAUGCGUAGAGAUCGGGAGGAAUACCAGUGGCGAAGGCGGCCUUCUGGACUGACACUGACGCUGAGGUGCGAAAGCGUGGGUAGCAAACAGGAUUAGAUACCCUUGUAGUC